Long non-coding RNA from Salarias fasciatus (jewelled blenny), 323 nucleotides. RefSeq lists it as uncharacterized. The record is from RefSeq and is a predicted model, not a curated record. The transcript has 3 exons. Lineage: Eukaryota; Metazoa; Chordata; Actinopteri; Blenniiformes; Blenniidae.
UCCAGAGCUUUCUCUCUUAUUCCACACAGACCUACCAAACAACGGAUGAGUCGAGGAACAUUUCAGAAAACUGACAAACCCUCACAUCUUCCAGCAUCUCUAUGUACUCAGGGGAGUGAAGCAUCAGCAUUACAGAUUUGGGUUGACCCAGAUUUUAAAGUAUUCCCACAUUCAUUCACAAGCCUGGGAUACUGGGAGACUUUAAACCGACAGACCAGCAGCGAUGAGAACAGCCUUCAACCAAACCGAGACAUCGCUCAGCUACGCCGAGACAAGAAACCGUCUGAAACGCUCCUCCGGCCCAAAAACACACUUUGAUGUCA